AUUGAACGCUGGCGGCAGGCCUAACACAUGCAAGUCGAACGAGUGGCGGACGGGUGAGUAGUGUCUGGGAAUCCGCCCGAUGGAGGGGUAUAACUAGUGGAAAUGAUAGCUAAUACCGCAUACCAUGGGAUGUCCCCAGAUGGGAUUAGCUAGUAGGUGGGGUAACGGCUCACCUAGGCGACGAUCCCUAGCUGGUCUGAGAGGAUGACCAGCCACACUGGAACUGAGACACGGUCCAGACUCCUACGGGAGGCAGCAGUGGGGAAUAUUGCACAAUGGGCGCAAGCCUGAUGCAGCCAUGCCGCGUGUAUGAAGAAGGCCUUCGGGUUGUAAAGUACUUUCAGCGAGGAGGCGUUACUCGCAGAAGAAGCACCGGCUAACUCCGUGCCAGCAGCCGCGGUAAUUC
This 406-nucleotide ribosomal RNA is filed under the name uncultured bacterium. RNAcentral describes it as "partial 16S ribosomal RNA". It matches the Rfam family "Bacterial small subunit ribosomal RNA", at positions 30 to 526 of the family's 1533-position model. The record is from RNAcentral.